Molecule: ribosomal RNA, 124 nt
Filed under: Pteropus alecto (black flying fox)
Lineage: Eukaryota; Metazoa; Chordata; Mammalia; Chiroptera; Pteropodidae
Source: RNAcentral
GUCUACGGCCAUGCCACCCUGAACAAGCCCAAUCCCAUCUGAUCUCAGGAAGCUAAGCAGGGUCGGGCCUGGUUAGUACUUGGGUGGUAGACCACCUAGGAAGACCAAGCAAGUGCUGUAGGCG